UACGGGGGGGGCAAGCGUUGUCCGGAUUUACUGGGCGUAAAGGGCGUGCAGGCGGCCACCGCAAGUCGACUGUGAAAUCUCCGGGCUUAACUCGGAAAGGUCAGCCGAUACUGCGGGGCUAGAGUGCAGAAGGGGCAACUGGAAUUCUCGGUGUAGCGGUGAAAUGCGUAGAUAUCGAGAGGAACACCUGCGGCGAAGGCGGGUUGCUGGGCUGACACUGACGCUGAUUGUGCGAAAGCUAGGGGAGCGAACGGG
Molecule: ribosomal RNA, 255 nt
Filed under: uncultured bacterium
Lineage: Bacteria
Description: partial 16S ribosomal RNA
Rfam family: Bacterial small subunit ribosomal RNA
Source: RNAcentral